AGGUUCAACUUCCAAAAUUUCAGAGCUUGUACUGGUUGGCUGCCCCAUAUCACCAACUUCAAGCACAUUUAAUUGAGAUUCCUUCUCACGCAAAGAUUUCUCAAGAAUUUCUACUCUGCGUGUUAAAUCCUCUACUUUACUUCUCUCUAUUUGCAAUAAUGCAUCCCUGCUCUCCAAUUCAGACAAAACAGAAGUAAUCUUUUUCUCAAUUAUUUCUCUCUGCUCAUGAACCUGACUGCUAUCAUCAAGAUUGACAUCUAGAGAAAACACUGUGGCUAUCCAUGUCAAUAACUCAUAAAGCUCAUCUGAAUUUCUCUUGUUGCUUGUCUGAGACGCAACAAGAGCAUCAUUUGUGCAUCU
Molecule: unclassified non-coding RNA, 360 nt
Filed under: Hevea brasiliensis (rubber tree)
Lineage: Eukaryota; Viridiplantae; Streptophyta; Magnoliopsida; Malpighiales; Euphorbiaceae
Source: RNAcentral